GAUAUUGCGCAAUGGGGGAAACCCUGACGCAGCAACGCCGCGUGAAGGAUGAAGGUUNNNGGAUCNUCAACUUCUUUGACCGGNGACNAAUAAAUGACGGUACCCAGGGAACAAGCCACGGCUAACUACGUGCCAGCAGCCGCGGUAAUACGUAGGUGGCGAGCGUUGUCCGGAUUUACUGGGUGUAAAGGGCGCGUAGGCGGGGCGGCAAGUCUGAUGUGAAAUCCCGCGGCUUAACUGCGGAACUGCAUCAGAAACUGCCGUCCUUGAGUAUCAGAGGGGAAAGCGGAAUUCCUAGUGUAGCGGUGAAAUGCGUAGAUAUUAGGAGGAACACCGGUGGCGAAGGCGGCUUUCUGGCUGAAAACUGACGCUGAGGCGCGAAAGCGUGGGGAGCAAACAGG
RNAcentral lists this ribosomal RNA (401 nucleotides) under uncultured bacterium. RNAcentral's name for it is "partial 16S ribosomal RNA". It matches the Rfam family "Bacterial small subunit ribosomal RNA", at positions 359 to 776 of the family's 1533-position model. The record is from RNAcentral.